AAUUGGUCACUAAUUUCAAUAGUGAGCAAAAAUGAUAGUUUUGGUGACAACUUCUGUUGUCACUAAAUGUGAAAUUUCUUGUAGUGUAGUAGAUAUAAGA
Molecule: long non-coding RNA, 100 nt
Organism: Ipomoea nil (Japanese morning glory)
Lineage: Eukaryota; Viridiplantae; Streptophyta; Magnoliopsida; Solanales; Convolvulaceae
Exons: 3
Source: RefSeq, a predicted model, not a curated record